UUUUUAUGGAGAGUUUGAUCCUGGCUCAGGAUGAACGCUGGCGGCGUGCCUAAUACAUGCAAGUCGAGCGAACAGAUGAGGAGCUUGCUCCUCUGACGUUAGCGGCGGACGGGUGAGUAACACGUGGAUAACCUACCUAUAAGACUGGGAUAACUACGGGAAACCGGAGCUAAUACCGGAUAAUAUAUUGAACCGCAUGGUUCAAUAGUGAAAGACGGUUUUGCUGUCACUUAUAGAUGGA
RNAcentral lists this ribosomal RNA (241 nucleotides) under Staphylococcus epidermidis NIH05003. RNAcentral's name for it is "partial 16S ribosomal RNA". It matches the Rfam family "Bacterial small subunit ribosomal RNA", at positions 1 to 229 of the family's 1533-position model. Lineage: Bacteria; Bacillati; Bacillota; Bacilli; Caryophanales; Staphylococcaceae. The record is from RNAcentral.